RNAcentral lists this unclassified non-coding RNA (762 nucleotides) under Hevea brasiliensis (rubber tree). The record is from RNAcentral. Lineage: Eukaryota; Viridiplantae; Streptophyta; Magnoliopsida; Malpighiales; Euphorbiaceae.
UUGAGAAUAGUGAAAGAAUACUGGAAUAUUAUGCAGCAAAAAAGGUAAGAACGAGUUCAGUGGGAGAAACUGGCAAUGCACAUAGAAGAAAAACGCCACAACAGAGAUUCCAGCCCUAGAAAAUAGGCCUUCUUAAUUCAGAAGAUCACAUCAAUCGAUUCAAAAAUAGUUCAUGUCUAUUCACAAGCAUAUGAUCCACUUUGCUCACAUAUUCAACCAACGUUUCCUCAAACUAUUGUGUCAAAUCUGCAUGACCACUAUUGUUAUCUAAUAAGGGACACAUUCGUUCCACCACAAAUUAACACCUUAAAUCCAUAUGAACAUUUCUUUCACAUCUUAGGUUCUACAGCUCAGACAUCCCUGAAAAGCUGAAGCUGUCAAAGUUUCUUCAAUGAAAACUGCAGCAGAUGUCUAAUGAUAAAUUUUGAAAUCCCUACCAAAUAAUUAGGUGCAAAGUGGUCAUCAAGAGACAAUAUCACCAAUUGCAAAAUUGACUCAAUGGUAAACUCAAUAAAUGUAUCCUCACCAUUUGCAAAAGUCACCGAUUUUUUCUACAUCCAGCACAUGCAUAAUGCUUCACUAUCCAAACUACAGUAUAACUAGAACCUACCUUAUGUCAUAAAUUGAUAAAGUUCAUCAACUAUUCCAAAACAUAGCUAAAGGAUACAGCUUUUCCUUCAUAAUUAAUACUAUCAAGCAUCGAAUUCACCAUUCCACUUGGAAACUCACAAAUGAAAACAUAUUUUAUCUAAUUAGAAACAG